AGUGAACGCUGGCGGUAGGCCUAACACAUGCAGGUCGAACGGCAGCACAGUAAGAGCUUGCUCUUACGGGUGGCGAGUGGCGGACGGGUGAGGAAUACAUCGGAAUCUACUUUUUCGUGGGGGAUAACGUAGGGAAACUUACGCUAAUACCGCAUACGACCUACGGGUGAAAGCAGGGGAUCUUCGGACCUUGCGCGAUUGAAUGAGCCGAUGUCGGAUUAGCUAGUUGGCGGGGUAAAGGCCCACCAAGGCGACGAUCCGUAGCUGGUCUGAGAGGAUGAUCAGCCACACUGGAACUGAGACACGGUCCAGACUCCUACGGGAGUCAGCAGUGGGGAAUAUUGGACAAUGGGCGCAAGCCUGAUCCAGCCAUACCGCGUGGGUGAAGAAGGCCUUCGGGUUGUAAAGCCCUUUUGUUGGGAAAGAAAAGCAGCAGGUUAAUACCCCGCUGUUCUGACGGUACCCAAAGAAUAAGCACCGGCUAACUUCGUG
This 492-nucleotide ribosomal RNA is filed under the name uncultured bacterium. RNAcentral describes it as "partial 16S ribosomal RNA". It matches the Rfam family "Bacterial small subunit ribosomal RNA", at positions 29 to 507 of the family's 1533-position model. The record is from RNAcentral.